RNAcentral lists this ribosomal RNA (585 nucleotides) under Metarhizium anisopliae. Its description in RNAcentral is "eukaryotic LSU rRNA". The stretch from base 192 to 345 matches the Rfam family "5.8S ribosomal RNA". Lineage: Eukaryota; Fungi; Ascomycota; Sordariomycetes; Hypocreales; Clavicipitaceae. The record is from RNAcentral.
UGGAAGUAAAAGUCGUAACAAGGUCUCCGUUGGUGAACCAGCGGAGGGAUCAUUACCGAGUUAUCCAACUCCCAACCCCUGUGAAUCAUACCUUUAAUUGUUGCUUCGGCGGGACUUCGCGCCCGCCGGGGACCCAAACCUUCUGAAUUUUUUAAUAAGUAUCUUCUGAGUGGUUAAAAAAAAUGAAUCAAAACUUUCAACAACGGAUCUCUUGGUUCUGGCAUCGAUGAAGAACGCAGCGAAAUGCGAUAAGUAAUGUGAAUUGCAGAAUUCAGUGAAUCAUCGAAUCUUUGAACGCACAUUGCGCCCGUCAGUAUUCUGGCGGGCAUGCCUGUUCGAGCGUCAUUACGCCCCUCAAGUCCCCUGUGGACUUGGUGUUGGGGAUCGGCGAGGCUGGUUUUCCAGCACAGCCGUCCCUUAAAUUAAUUGGCGGUCUCGCCGUGGCCCUCCUCUGCGCAGUAGUAAAGCACUCGCAACAGGAGCCCGGCGCGGUCCACUGCCGUAAAACCCCCCAACUUUUUAUAGUUGACCUCGAAUCAGGUAGGACUACCCGCUGAACUUAAGCAUAUCAAUAAGCCGGAGGAA